ACAAGACGGUCAGACAAUACAUAUUAACAAAUGCUCUUGACGAAGAAGUUAACAAAGGUUUCUGGAUUGGGCUCAAUGAUCGCGACAGUGAGGGUAAUUUUGUUUGGUCAGACGGUUCAGCGUUGGAACCAGGAGACUUCACUAGGUGGGCUGCUGAUCAACCAAACGAUAACCACCAAGGAGAUCCAAUCAAUGGACAGGACUGUGUGCAAUUAUGGGCAGAGAGAGCAUUAAAAUGGGAUGAUGAUUACUGCGGUGAUAACCCUGAAGGAGAGAAACGGAAAAAGGGAUACAUCUGUGAAAUUCCAUGUUAAUGAAGAGCACCAUGAGGCAAUGAGCCAUGACCUAGAACGCAUGACAUAUCAUAAGACAUCUUUAAACAUAAAGAUUCUAAACCGACAUCUAAAAUCUAACAUUUACUAUACGUGAAUUCCUGCGAUAUGUCAGUCAAUAAAUGCUAUUAGAUAAUAAAGUAGAUGUAA
This is a long non-coding RNA of Saccoglossus kowalevskii, 482 nucleotides long. Lineage: Eukaryota; Metazoa; Hemichordata; Enteropneusta; Harrimaniidae. The record is from RefSeq and is a predicted model, not a curated record.